UUUUUUUCUUUUUCAUUGUACUUCAGUUCUGAUUACUUGGAUUAGGGGGAGAAAACUCAGUAGGAUCUGCCAAUUUUUAGUGAUUUCUGUCAUCAAUUCCUGAUUGCCUAGGAUUGCUUUGUUGUUCACCUUAGAUGCCUUUAAAACAUGAUUUAUUUAAGCCUAUUCACUCUUAGUUGGUUUGGUGAUUGGUAGUAAAGUUGUUUUGGUGUCACCCAUUGGAGUGAGAAUUUUCCCCACAUGAUGGCCAUUGUAGGUCUUUCACAUCAGGUGUACUUUACUUCUAGAGUUGUCAGAAAAGAAUUUAACUCCAGUAAUUAAUUAUUUGGGAUAAGUUUCCCAAGGAGUCCUCAGCUUAGGCUACAUUAGAGGCACUGCAUUCUAUUCAUAUAAUAUGAAACCUUUUAGGUCAUAUGAGUAAUUAAGUUUUACAUCAUUGUGAAAUAAACACAUACGCCUACGAUUUCACCGAAGCAUGUAAGUGGAUGGUUAAGAAGCAAAUGUGUGUUUCCCUUUGUGGAUAAUAAUGGCAGACAGUCAUAUUGUUUAUUUUGCCUUUGAUAUGAAUUUAAAUCAAAUAAAGAUGGUUCAAGUUAGCACAGGGAAAAUCCAGUUGCUUCCCUGGGUCCAUCAGCAUCUUAAUCCGUUUUUCAAAUGUUUUGGAGUUUUGCAAAGCUUGAAACUUUUUUUUUUUUUUUUACCAUGCCCCCUUUCCCUUGUUUUAUAAGCCAAUAUAAUUUUAAAGAAAAACUUAAUCCAUAUGUUUGUGAUUCAUUUUUACUAAACUCAUCAAAAUGGUGUUUUGUAAGAGUGAUUUGGUGUCCAACAAGUCUUUUGAGUCUCUCUGUAACAGGCCUUCUUAAUGCCAUUUCUCUUUGAAGCAAGAAGUUGUGUUUUGCCAACAGUAGAGAAAUUCAAACCCCCAAAGGGUUGAAAUCAGUUUGAAACUUCAAGCCUAAGGACUCUGUGGGGUUCUAUACUUGGCAAAUGGCUACUUCCCUUCUAACUUUGAAAUACCUUAUUUUCCUCUCACAAGAAAUGCUCUACUGUUUUGCUAAAAUAUGUAUUUAAAAUAAUCUUCAGAUUCUUUAAUACAUAAAAAUAUAUACAUUAAAAAGUGGGGCCUAACGUUUAAUUUAUUCUAAAGCAAUAUUAUUUGAUUAUCCAUUUGGAUUUUCCUUUAAUUCUCAUUUUCUGACCCUACACAUCUUUGUGAUUUGGAUUUACCCAAAGAUUUACCAGAAAAGAUGACCAUGAUGAUCCUACAAGCUGGAAAUAAGUGCUGGGUAGUUAUUGGCUUUCUUCCCCAGGUUGCUCAAUAAAGGACAUAUUACUUAAUGUAGUACGCUAAUGUCUCACACUAUAUUUCAUACUUUUAUUUAUGUUGACAACCAAAACUUCAAUGCAGAAGAUUUUGAAUAAUAUGCUCUAUGUCACAAGGUGAACCAUAAUUCACAGUUGUAGAUGUUUGCUAGUUUUUCAAUGUAGUUCAUUUCUAUUUAUAUGUUUAAAGGAAGACCUGUAUAAUUUCCGUUAGUUUUUAUACAAUAGGCAAGAGGAGAGAGAGUGAGAAAGAGAAAACAAAAUAGUAUGUACAGCAAGUUAAAUAUCCAAACCACUAUGGUCCUUUGUCCUGACUGCUUUCUGGCCAUGAAGUGGGAGUGCCCUCUAGUGAAACUUUAAAAUCAUUGGAAGAUAUUGGGUGUAACGUGGUUAAGGUUUUCUCCUAAAUUCUUUUCUUCAAAAAUCUUUGGGCAUUAACAAUUUGCAUAAGUUUUGAAUGAGAGUUAGAGAAAAACACAAAAUACCAUCAAGUAAAACUAUUUCUUUGGGAAACAAAUACAAAUGAAUACAUUACUGUCAAUAUCAAAAAGUACAUGUCUGCAUAUCUUUGUCAUCUAUCUGUUUAUCUAUCUAUCUAUCUAUCUAUCUAUCAUCUAUCUAUCGAAAGAUCCCAAGGACACAUAAGUAGCAUAUAACCCACAACAGGGCUAUAGUUAUCUAAAAGAAAACAUAUAAAAACAUAAUUACCCACUUCUCAAGAAGAUGAAUAAUAAAUAAGUUACUUUGGAAUGUGAAAAUAAGGCAGUAGUAGCAAUACACACGAGUAAAUAAGAAGUGAAAAAUACAUCUUGUCAUCUAUAUUAUUCCAAAUCUCUUUGUAGAAAGCAGCACAUGCUCAUUGUGAUAAAAUCUGAAAAAGUUCAAGGCCAGGAGUCAGAGUUCUUACCCUGGACUUCACUUACCAGCUGUGUGAGCUUGGGCAACACAUUUAACCUCUCUGAGCCUCAGGGUCAUCAUCUGCAAAAUGGGGCUUAAGAACACCUGCCCUACCACCUCAUAGGGUAGUAUUGAAGGAGAUAAAGUAUGGGAAAGGGCUUUGAAGUAGAUAAAGUUCUAUACUGUGAAGGUAUUAUUUUUCUGACUUCUUUCUACUGAGGAAAUUUCAAGCAAAGUCCCCUUUCAGGAUGAAGAGGGAAAGAAAGAAGACCCUCCUAAAAUUCUCUGGAGUCAGGAAUCAUUGACAAAACAUCUUUCUUCCCAAUCAAAAAAGAGUCACAGAGAAAGAAACAGGUGGCGCCCGAGGAAGGAUGCAGGGUUAGACAUUACCAUCGUGGAGCCGCCAGCUCUCCCGGACUAGGCUGACGCCCACGUGGAGGGCCCUCGGCCAGGAAGCAUGGCCUGGGCAGCCUGUGCUGGAGCCGGCUGGGCAGCAGCUGGUGGAGGAGUCAGGAACCGCGUCCCCUCGGGUUUACAGCAGCAAGAGUUUCCGUGAGUCUAAUCUCCACCUUGCACAGAGAGAAGCUCAGCAGCACGUAUGCUCCGCACCUCUGUGCUUUUAAUCCCCCUCUCCGUGACCAUCCAUGCAAAACCGUUCCCUCUUUGUUGUCUUUUCAAAACUGAAAAUAUUUUCAUUUUGUUUAUGCCAACAUAAUAAACUCUUCAUCUGAGCAAACAAUCUGAUUUUUCCUUUUAGUUGCAGUGAGUUUAAUUUCAGAUUUGUGCUGUAACAAUUCCUUACUUUUCUCCACAUAAAGCUUGUUUUCAGUGAGAUGUGGUUUCUCACUAGCUGUGUUUGCUUUGAAGAGAGUUUUACGUACUUAUUUUUAAAAUCAACUUGUAUAGGCACUUUAAAUCAAGGUAUUAAAAUUUUCAGAACAUUCAAAAACUGUUCCCUUUUUUUUUACAACAACAUAGGUAUCUCCUAUGUAUUUAUUGCCUAGAUUUUCACUAUUUAUCUUCUGGAUGUACAUCUUUCUUUUGUCCGGAGUGAGAAACUGUUUCUAGUUUCUUUACUCAGAGGUACUUCACAUUGUCAGACAUGCAUAAUCAAUCUUGUACUUAAACCUUUGUGAGGAACACAACAGAUGGAUAAUGGGAACAUGGUUGCCAUUUGGGGUCUGGUCAAUUCAUGAGCUGCCUCUACAGCCAUGACUCUGGUGUAUAGGAGAAAAACCAUAAAGUUAAUCUCUAAAGCUAUCUGACAGGUCCCAUGCCUGCUGUUUAUGUCCUCCCUCCCCAUUUGAUCUAAACAGUUGGCAUGGGGGUUGAGGGGUGCCACUUCUUCCUCAGAAUAAAAUUAAAUAAGAUAUUCAGCAGGUCUUCAACUGCUCACGGAUUUAUCCAAGAUAAGUGACCAGUUUCAGUUGAAUGACUGGGGCUCCCAUGUCAUAAAAUUGCUCUUGGCUAAAGCUAGAGUUCACUUUGUCUAAGCUACAUGCUCGUGUAUUGCUGGAGCACCACGACUUCUCAUUGAAACUUUGGGUUCCUUCUGUAUUAGAACCUUCCCUGACCUUUGCUGAACACCACAAAGAAACCAAAUGCUAACCUCUGUUUGUCUCAAAUUUUCCCCUAUUAAUGCUUGGUCCAAGUCUACAUUUCCAGCCAGUCUUUCAUUUAAAAACACAAUCUCAUUCAAAACCUGCCUGGUAACUUUAUCACUGGGGUAACUGUUACCUAUGAUGCAGGGCUGACCUGGGUCCUUGUAGCACUUGACAUCAUCUUUUGGACGGGUUACAGAGCCUUUUGAGGGAGUUGUUAGAAGCAGGCUCACCCUGUGUAUCUCCAGUGCCUAAACAGUGCCUGAAGUGAACAGACUCAGCAAACUUGUGUUCAACUCCUAUUUCCAUCUCUUACUAGCUGUGUGACUUUCAAAAAAUUGUUUGUCCUUUCAAGGCCUCAGUUUCCAUACAGUUCCACAGGGCUGGGAGGCGUCACAUUCAUGGCGGAAGGCAAGGACCAAGUCACAUCUUAUGUGGAGGGAGACAGGCAAAACGAGAGAAAGAGAGAUCAGAUCUCGUAAACCAUCAGAUGUCAUGAGACUUACUCACUAUCGCGAGAAUAGCAUG
This 4349-nucleotide long non-coding RNA is filed under the name Homo sapiens (human). Its description in RNAcentral is "HSALNT0065262". The record is from RNAcentral. Lineage: Eukaryota; Metazoa; Chordata; Mammalia; Primates; Hominidae.